AGUGAACGCUGGCGGUAGGCCUAACACAUGCAAGUCGAACGGCAGCACAGUAAGAGCUUGCUCUUACGGGUGGCGAGUGGCGGACGGGUGAGGAAUACAUCGGAAUCUACUUUUUCGUGGGGGAUAACGUAGGGAAACUUACGCUAAUACCGCAUACGACCUACGGGUGAAAGCAGGGGAUCUUCGGACCUUGCGCGAUUGAAUGAGCCGAUGUCGGAUUAGCUAGUUGGCGGGGUAAAGGCCCACCAAGGCGACGAUCCGUAGCUGGUCUGAGAGGAUGAUCAGCGACACAGGAACUGAGACACGGCCCAGACUCCUACGGGAGGCCGCAGUGGGGAAUAUUGGACAAUGGGCGCAAGCCUGAUCCAGCCAUACCGCGUGGGUGAAGAAGGCCUUCGGGUUGUAAAGCCCUUUUGUUGGGAAAGAAAAGCAGCAGGUUAAUACCACGCUGUUCUGACGGUACCCAAAGAAUAAGCACCGGCUAACUUCGU
This 491-nucleotide ribosomal RNA is filed under the name uncultured bacterium. RNAcentral describes it as "partial 16S ribosomal RNA". It matches the Rfam family "Bacterial small subunit ribosomal RNA", at positions 29 to 506 of the family's 1533-position model. The record is from RNAcentral.